Molecule: non-coding RNA, 870 nt
Organism: Sus scrofa (pig)
Lineage: Eukaryota; Metazoa; Chordata; Mammalia; Artiodactyla; Suidae
Source: RefSeq, a predicted model, not a curated record
CUUUAGAAAGAAAACAGACUGACUUCUGUUUUUUUUUUCUCUCCUCCCUGGGAGUGGAAUGUGGGUAUUAUGGUGAUGAGGUUGAAGUUCCUGGCAUCAUAGCUCAAGGAAACUCCUACAGAACUGCCAGAAGUUCUACUGGCUUCUCCAUACCCUAGCAGCAAUGACUCUUCCCUGGGAACCAGCCUGGAUUUUCAGCUUCUGCAAGUGCUGACGUCCCCAUAUUGGUACUUGCUCCUUUGUAAAAAGUGGUAAGAUAUUGCCAGGGUCAUCUCAUCAGUCCCUCAAGGGCUCUUAACUCUUUUCUUUUCUGGUCUUUUGCUCCUAAGCACUGGGGGACUGCAGGAAAUCCCUCUCUACUUUUCUGAGUUUAGUAUUUCACCCUCCUGCUCUGCAUCUUUGGAAUGUCAGUGUUUCAAGGGAGAAAGGGGCCAUGUGCCUGGGGCCAUUCACUUCUCCACUUUUACCACUCUAUCCUGUACCACCAAAAGGUCCCACUGGUUUCUCUGUCCCCAGCACUGACGCCCCCCCGCCUGUGCCUUACCCUGAUUCUUGGCCUCAUGUCAAUGUCCAGGAUCAGCAUGUGUCUCCAGACAGAGGCCAAUCUGCAACUCACCUCUUAGAGUUCCUUCUCUGAAAUGUUAUCCCCUUUAGUCCUUGUGGCUUCUGCAGCUCUCUUAUGCCUAAAUGUCUAAUUUUAAAAUUUGUCUGGCUUUUCUUUUUGUUUUCAAUAGUAUAUUGGCCUCCAGACUACUUGCAAAUGGAAGUCGUUAGUCUCAUUUCCUGGAAAGGCCCCAGACUCUCACUUCAGAGUCUUUUUUUUUUGUCAUUCUAGGGUGGCAUCUGUGGCAUGUGGAAAUUCCAGGGCUG